GGCUAGCUCAAUCGGUAGAGCGUGAGACUCUUAAUCUCAAGGUUGUGGGUUCGACCCGUAAGCGCCACCAUCAUCU
Non-coding RNA from Colletotrichum sp. SAR 10_71, 76 nucleotides. NCBI's taxonomy places the organism in Eukaryota, Fungi, Ascomycota, Sordariomycetes, Glomerellales, Glomerellaceae. The record is from the annotation of a GenBank genome assembly.